GGGCUGUGCUUUCUGCUGUGUGCGCAAAUGUUCUACCAACCACCUCGGCUUGUGAAGGCAGAUGUCAUGCAGUCUGCAAACAUCUUGUGGUGCCCUAGACCCAUCUGCCUCCUUUGCCCAGCAGAAUUGCAACAGGUCUGUGUGGAGGGAGGUUUCCACGCAGCCAGGAUCCCCUGUUUGACCAGGGUGCCAGCCAGGUCUUUCCCCUGCCAAGUUCCAGCUGCAGCUCAGAGAUAGAUGGAAGGGUGUGAAUAAGGUUACAGGGGGAGUGUCCUUUGAGCACAUCCCUCCCAUAAGACCCUCAGUCAUAUUAGAAACGUCCUGAGCCCCAGCAGGUCUGGGGUGGCCCAAGCCUCUGACUUCCCUGAGAUUUGCUGUGGAUUGGCCUGGGUUUUACUGCUCUCUUCUCCUCUCGCCCUUCCUGCAGCCCUGAUGCGGAGUUCUGUGGCUACUGUAUCACACACCCCUCUGAAAGCAAGAUCAGCUUCCGGAUCCAGACCAGAGGGGCCCUUCCUGCUGUUGAGCCAUGCCAGAAAGGAAUGAAUGACCUGAUGGGUGUUUGCUAACAUGUACUCAACACCUUUGAGAGGAGCAUGAAGGAGUACAGGGCCCAGAGGGAGGAAGAGAUACAGUAGCAUUUGGGGAUGGCAGUCUCCAUGGACGUGUAAGGUCUGUGUGUUGAAUUCCCUGUGCCAAGUAUUUCUGGUAGUGUGUUUUAGGACUGCUUUGAUGCAAACCUGUAUUUUCUGUAAUAAUAAAGAUUCUG
This is a long non-coding RNA of Pezoporus flaviventris, 766 nucleotides long. RefSeq lists it as uncharacterized. Lineage: Eukaryota; Metazoa; Chordata; Aves; Psittaciformes; Psittacidae. The record is from RefSeq and is a predicted model, not a curated record. The transcript has 3 exons.